GACAAGGCCAAAACCGGCGUGCCACAGCUCCCCUCGAACGCGAAGAACAAGCUCAUCUCUAUCCCGCUGGAAGAGCUUCCAAGCAAGACGAAGAGCAUGGUGCGCAACGCGAAACAAGCCGAGGCGGAGAUCGCCGCGCUGAAGAUCUCCUACCUCAAGAGGAUCGGCAAGGGCUCCAACGUCAUCAUCAUGGACUCGUAUUGCGACAGCUCGAAGAUCGUGGCGAAGACGCUCAACAGCGUCGGAUUCAAGAACUGCUGGGUCAUGGCCGGCGGCUUCUCCGGCAGGAAAGGGUGGGCGCAGAGCCGGCUCGGGACGGACUCGUACAACCUGUCGGUCGUCGAAGUCGUCACGCCGUCGCGGGUAAUUCCUGCGGCCGCUGAUCGGCUCGUGACGGCUUCGUCGUCGGCUUCACGGACGACCACGAGUCGUAAGCUU
This 438-nucleotide unclassified non-coding RNA is filed under the name Hevea brasiliensis (rubber tree). Lineage: Eukaryota; Viridiplantae; Streptophyta; Magnoliopsida; Malpighiales; Euphorbiaceae. The record is from RNAcentral.